This 467-nucleotide ribosomal RNA is filed under the name uncultured bacterium. Its description in RNAcentral is "partial 16S ribosomal RNA". It matches the Rfam family "Bacterial small subunit ribosomal RNA", at positions 28 to 507 of the family's 1533-position model. The record is from RNAcentral.
GACGAACGCUGGCGGCGUGCUUAACACAUGCAAGUCGAACGGAAAGGCUCCAGCUUGCUGGAGUACUCGAGUGGCGAACGGGUGAGUAACACGUGGGUAAUCUGCCCUGCACUCUGGGAUAAGCCUGGGAAACUGGGUCUAAUACUGGAUAUGACCUUUCUCCUUGUGGGGUUUGGUGGAAAGUUUUUCGGUGUAGGAUGAUCCCGCGGCCUAUCAGCUUGUUGGUGGGGUGAUGGCCUACCAAGGCAACGACGGGUAGCCGGCCUGAGAGGGUGAACGGCCACAUGGGGCCUAAGAUACGGCGCAGACGGCUACGGGAGGCAGAAGGGGGGAAUAUUGCACAAUGGGCGGAAGCCUGAUGCAGCGACGCCGCGUGCGGGAUGACGGCCUUCGGGUUGUAAACCUCUUUCAGCAGGGACGAAGCGUAAGUGACGGUACCUGAAGAAGAAGCACCGGCUAACUAUGUG